Molecule: long non-coding RNA, 1368 nt
Organism: Mytilus californianus (California mussel)
Lineage: Eukaryota; Metazoa; Mollusca; Bivalvia; Mytilida; Mytilidae
Exons: 3
Source: RefSeq, a predicted model, not a curated record
UUCUAAGGAUCCUCAAAUUUUCUAAACUUAUCUUUGCUUUACUAUAUCGAAUACCCUAAAAUUAAAACACAUUGUUUAGAAUUAUACCAGAUUUUCUUAACUACACUGCUUUAUGUUUGUAGGUGAUAUAAGCACACCAGUAUUUGUGAAUCGUAGUAGUCAGUUUUCUGCGAUCUCAACGGAAUCAACUUUCGAUAAAACAGUGAAGCCUACUUUAACAAACAUUUCAGAUGUAAAAAGACCUGGUAAAGCGAAUGAUAAAAUUGAUUUGUGUAUCAAAAUUACUGCUGGAGGUGCUGCAUCUUUUGCAACCAUUUUUAUUUUUCUCCUGGUCAUUAUCUUUAUCCAAAGACGAAAAUUGAUGAAAGCUUCCUACACCACUUUAACAGUACGACGAGAUCAGAACAACUACAACGAAAUACCACAUCAAAUGUCAGAUUCCGUUACAGGGCAAUACUAUGAGGUGUCACCGUUAUCAGAAAUCUCUGCUUCAGGAGGCAAACCCACUGUCCAACAGAACAUAGAUCAAAUACAACACAUUGAUACAUCUGGAUAUCUUAUCCCUUCUAGCAUGCUACAGACGAGCGGAGACUAUCAUACAAUCGCAGACUAAUUUGAAAAUUUCACAUUAUAGUUUGUAAAUAUUUUACACUUUGAAUGCACAGACAUGUACAUUAGUUAUUUUGUACAUGUAAUGUAAUUCAUUUGAUCGUUUGUUUUGUACAUUAACAUUUUUCUCAAGAUUAGUGUACUACUACAUAAUUUGAACUCUUCACUAUAAUUGAAAGUGUUUUAAGUUUUUUCAAAUAUCAAUGCACAUCUAUGUUUUGUUAUAGUUCAGUUAUAGGUCAGUAUUAUUAUCUUUGCUAUGUUUUUUUUUUUAUAAUAAGCAAGUUAAUAUUGUAUUACCUUCCAAGGACAAUAUACCAAAGCGAUUUUUUGUAUUAGAGACAGACAUGACAAUUGGGUUUUGCUGCUUCUAUGCUUAGCAUGUGGCAUUUGCAUUUGAGGUAUAGCAAAAACUGCUCGACACGCAGUCAAAAUAAUGUAUCCAGGAAGGGCGACAUGUUUUCUUGCGGACUGUUAUCAUUGUACUAGUUAAAGAUCCGUUCCAUUCUGUCAACGUGUCCGUCUAAUACAAAGCAGUGUACAAAGCUCAUAUUCUUGUUACACGUUCUUGCCUAAUAUGAAUGUAAUAUAUUUCUGUAGUGUUGGAUAUUUAUAUGCAUAUGCUUAUUUUGGUAAGAUGUUCCACUACAUUAAGAUUUUUGUAACGUGAAUGUUUGCCACGCCAUCAGUACUAUAUAACCUAUGGCAUAUACUAGUAUUUGUACAGAUUGCCAGUCUAAUAUAAAUAUAGAUCUCUGA